UUCUAAGAAAAAUGACUCACGGUUCGGUCAGGAGUCAGUUCAAGAGUCCGCUCUGAACGCUCUGAAGUCUGAUUCAAACCGCCUCACUCACGAGUCACGAGCGAGAUCGAGGCUGCCUUGUAAAUCUUUGACUGACUCAUUAAAAAGAACCGGUUUCAAAGAGUCAUUUGUUCGCCAGUCGGACAUCGCGGCUCGCUCUGUGUUCGUUGUUGCGCACAGGAAACUCUGACACGUGUUCUAACGAGAUGACAUCUGAUGAAAACGCGCGUGGAUGCAGGCUCCUGCGCAUGCAAGGCUAUUUCCUCAAGACUCAUUGGAUGCUGCCCCAUGCAUUUCUACCAGAAGUAGGCAGUUUUGCUUGGAUUUUUUUUUUUUUAUGAUGGGGGCUUUCACACAGGCUGGUGAAAAUGCAACCAUAAACUCCACAUCUCCGCGCAGUUUCUCCUUCGCUGGAAGGCAUGAAUCCAGAGAAAUACUGAGAUGAGACACACUGGUCCAAUGUAGCAGUUUUUUGCCAGUGCUUAUUGAGAAGCAUCAUGCACUGAAAAUGAAUCGUGGUUGGAACAGUGACGUUCAGUCAGUGCUACACAGUUGAUUCAGCUUACGUGGGCGUGAUGCCGCUUUCCCACAUGCAGAUAUCAGCUGUGUCAUUUCAAACCUGUUUUUAAUCAGCAUAACCACGAGCUGCUGCCAGGAGGCGGGACACAAGCUGCAGUUUGUGUGAAUUUCCGUGAAUAGCUCGAGUCGCUUGGCAGGUUGAUUAACAAAGCCUUCGGGUUGAGAGGGAGCUUGUUCUGACCUGUCACAGGAUUCUUGGGCAAAGAUAAGAUUAUUCCUCAUCUGUUACCUAUUGUGGUUUAGAUGACAAGUGAAUUAAAAGUUAAUUCCACUUUCUAAAGAAACUUGAUUCUUCAAGGUGCAAAGCAGGCUGUAAGAGAUGUUCAGCCAUUCUUUAAUGUCAAGUGUGCUAUUCAACACGGCAGGAAAACUCCAUCCAUUCACUCUUAAUAGCUGUCUAAUUGUGAAUGAUUCAUUGGUGCAUGUUAUUCAAAAGAAAAACUGUUUGCCUUUCUAAUCUUUUAUCAGAAUGUAACAACUUGCUCCACCUUGACCUGUCUUUCCAAUUUGGCUGACAUCAUUUAGGAUGCCAAGCUGUUGGACAAUGUUAACCAACAGCCAAAUAAUAAAACCAUGUCUUGACCUAGAUUUUUUUUUUUUUACUUAAUAAAUAUCCCUUUCACUUGGAAAUGCAUUACAUUAUGAAAGUAAAUAGUUUGCAAACAAGCUUGUUCUUGUCUUAUUGCCUUUUAGUUACAAGAGCAAAUACAUUUUUUUUCUAUAAAAACUUUUUUUCAAAUUUUUUAGCCUGAUUUGCAAAAUGUAGCAUACCAUUGUUGUCCUAUUUAAUUGCUGAAGUGAAGACAUAAUUGUGAAAAAUUAAUACUGUUAAUAAAUGAAUACACACAUACAUACAUACAAUUUUUCUAUUAGAUUUCAGCUUUUCAAAAUUUUCAGAAAAUGUGCUUCAAAAUGUACACCCCCUCAGGCCAUACAAGAUGUAGAUGAGAUAUACCCUGUAUAUUAUUUUUGGUCAGAUCAGAUUUAAAGAAAUUUUUGCACUUCAUCACUUGCUUGCUUUAAGAUAUUAACUGAUGGUCUGGAGUCAUACGGAUUAUUUGUGAUUUAUAGUGAUGUUUUUAUCAGAUGUUUGGACUCUGAUUCUGACGGCACCCAUUCACUGCAGAGGAUCCUUUGGUGAGCAAUCCAUAUCUUUUAUGGCUUGAGGGUAAGUUUUAAGCAAAAAAAAAAAGGAAAAAAAAAACAGACCCCCAAACAUGGCUCAGAUGUGUUUUCACCCGUUUUGUUGUUCACCAAGAAAAAUGUAUUCAAGUUGCAUGAUUAAAGGUAUGAUUCAUGUUUGUGGUGAAUUAUAUGCAAACCUUUAAUACUUACAGUUAGAAGUUUGUUCAAACACCAACCCUAUUAUGAGCAAUCGUAACGCUUGCCUUAGCAAGUAAAUGUAAAGGUCAAUUUAGUUCGAUUUUUUUUCAAGCCCUUUCUACUUUGUUCCCAGGCAGCACUUGAGAACAACUGUGCUGACUCAUAAAGAAAAGCAGAAAAGCUAACUCUAAUUAAUCACACACAAGUCAAACAAAUUCACUUUCUCACACUGCAGAAGUGCCAGAAGCCCUCAAGACAAAUUAAUGAAGGCAUUAUCAAAUCAUUUCAAGAGUUUGUCACCUGUUUCUUCCUUCCCAGAAUCAGAGCGUUUAAGUUUAAUAUGUGAUUCGCCUGACUGCACAGAUUCAAUGAUGCAAAUCAUAAACAGAGCUCACGUGCGAUCAGUGAUUCAGAGCGAAGACCUGAAGUGAACUGCUGAGUAGAUCUUCUCACAGGAUAACAGUUGUGGGAACCUAAUGAACACACAGGUGAACGGGGGUCAGCAGCAGUUGUUUUUGCCGCAUGGAUCUAUGCUGAGCUAAGGAGAGAAACAACCUGACUCCUGUAUGGGAUACUGACCUCUGCACAUCCGUCCUGCCCUGGGGGUCGUGACCUUUGGCACACACUGACAGCAGCUGACACUUGUCCAUGUCUUAGUCUUCCACAAUGACAAGACAAUGAUUGUCAUAGAUAAAAACCAAAGGAGGUUAAUGUUUCCUAAUGCACUUUAAGAUGUUGUUUUCAAAUAUUCAAUGACAUCAAUACUUCAUUAUGCAAUACUCUGGAAUACUCAAUUCUGAUUGGUCAUUUGAUGCAUUCUACAGUCAAAUAUAUUUUUAUAUAAUAAUGCUAAUGCUAUUAUAUUACAGUUAUAUUAUAUUAUUGUACUGAAUAUCCCAUGAACAGCCAGAUGUUGUCACGAAAUAAAUCUCUUCGGGAUCAUACAGGACACCUCCAUCCGGGUCCUGAUUGCCCCGUCUGGGUUUAUUUUGCAAUAAAAUGUGGUUCAUUGCCAUAUCUUUGUUGUUCAUCAACAUUUGAAAAAACAUCUGAGUGUGUGUGCAGUAAACGUACCCACAACAAAGGCAGACAACUGUGUGUAGGACAUUAAAAUCUGAUUUUCCGUCACAUCCCUGAUGUUUCAGUACUGCUCCAUCAACGCUUCUCUGAAGGUUUUAACAGAUCGUGAUUUUAUUUUCAUGAUCCCAGACUCCACAUGAACGAGACGGCAGCUCAAGCCUCGCCGUCAGUGUUUGUUAACUGGAAUGAUGAAUAUGAUUCUGUUGGAUUUAGAUUAAAGAUAUGAGCAAAACUACACUAUAAGAAAAAAAAAAUCUAAUUUUCUUAUAAGCUUAUGGGUAUUAUCUCUAAGCCUAAACGGAAAAGCGAUACUAUCCAUAUUUCAAAAUACCAGUGAAAAAUCAAUGUUGAAAAAUCAUAUUAAAAAAGUACAUUGGGCCAUGUUUUUACAGCAUUUUAGAUAUGGGUUUAAAGUAGAAUAACUUCUCUAAAGACAAGACAUAUGUAGCACAGAAGUCUUCAUUAAAGGUUUCUGAAUGAUUCAGCCUCGCAGUUCAGGAUGAAAGAUGUCAGAGGAUGUUCAGAAAAACAUUGAACAUUUUUAGUAUUAGUAUUGUGUAUUUAUUGCAAAAAAAAAAAGUAUUAUUUUUUAACACUUAAAUAAUGAGGUAUUAAUUUCUUUGAUUAAUUGAAAGGUCAAUCGUUGAGCCUAGUUUCACAGAAACCACCCAUCCAUCUUACCCUCCAAUCAUCGUUGCCCUGGACCUUUCUUUCUCUUCCAGGAUCACAGUUACACUUUGUAUCAAAAAUCUACCAUUGUAUCUCAUUGCUCUCAUUGUCUUUUCA
Molecule: long non-coding RNA, 3807 nt
Organism: Carassius gibelio (silver crucian carp)
Lineage: Eukaryota; Metazoa; Chordata; Actinopteri; Cypriniformes; Cyprinidae
Exons: 3
Source: RefSeq, a predicted model, not a curated record